Transfer RNA from Metarhizium acridum CQMa 102, 109 nucleotides. It matches the Rfam family "tRNA". Rfam says of the family: Transfer RNA (tRNA) molecules are approximately 80 nucleotides in length. Their secondary structure includes four short double-helical elements and three loops (D, anti-codon, and T loops). The record is from Rfam. Lineage: Eukaryota; Fungi; Ascomycota; Sordariomycetes; Hypocreales; Clavicipitaceae.
GCGAGUCUGGCCGAGUGGUUAAGGCGUUGUGUUUAGGACAUGCCUACAAUGGCAUACGCUUGAACCGCAAUGGGCAUUGCCCGCGUAGGUUCGAUCCCUACGGCUCGCA